AUGUCCACUGCAAGUGAAUGGCAGCAAGACCAUGAGGUAGGGAAGAAGAUCAAGAGUGAGUCCGCGGCGGAGGCGGACCGGAUGAUGGCGGCAGCACGGAGGAGUAGCAGCCUGCCUGCAGCAGGCGUCGGACCAGGAUCAACACCGUCGUUCAACACGAUGACCCCAUGUGCCGCGUGUAAGCUGCUCCGGCGGCGGUGCGCGCAGGAGUGCCCCUUCUCACCUUUUUUCUCGCCGCUAGAGCCGCACAAGUUCGCCUCCGUUCACAAGGUCUUCGGCGCCAGCAACGUCUCCAAGAUGCUUCUGGAGGUACACGAGAGCCAGCGCGGCGACGCGGCCAACAGCCUGGUGUACGAGGCGAACCUGCGGCUCCGCGACCCCGUCUACGGCUGCAUGGGCGCCAUCCUCACCCUGCAGCAGCAGGUGCACGCCCUCGAGGCCGAGCUCGCCGCCGUCCGCGCCGAGAUCCUCAAGCACAGGUACCGCCCUGCCGCCGCGGCGUCCGCGGUGCCCAACGUGCCCCCGUCCUCGCACGCCUCCCAGCUCCUCGCCGCCGGAGGCCACCGGCCGGCUGGGUCGCUGGGGCUGGCCGCGCCGGGGGCGGGGCCUGUGCCUUCCGCGUCGUCGUCAACCACGGUGUAUGCCACGGCGUCGAGCUCCACGGACUACAGCUCCAUCACGCACGAGAAUGUUCCAUAUUUUGGUUGA
Molecule: ribosomal RNA, 708 nt
Filed under: Triticum aestivum (bread wheat)
Lineage: Eukaryota; Viridiplantae; Streptophyta; Magnoliopsida; Poales; Poaceae
Description: partial small subunit ribosomal RNA
Source: RNAcentral